AGAACAGGUCUCUACAGCUGUUAUUUGACCUGAGAUAUCUCACUGCUACCCUGGGUACCAAACUAGAGGAUGGCAGGGCUUCCGCUCUCAACAAGACCCCAGGGUUCAGCAGGUGUGUGAUUCGCUGGAGAGCUACAUUGAUCCCUUUGACCUGGAUGUGUUCAUGCCGCCAUUCAACAGCAACCUCAACCGCCUAUCACAGAGGAGUUCGGUGUUGUUGGGGUUGUUGACGAGGACAGAGAAGCAGUUUGUUUCCCGUGGUAACAGCGCGGCCUCUCAGGAACCCUACAACAUCCUGCCAGCUGGCCAGCACCCAGAUCAGGUUUGGGCUGUUACCUCUGAGCAUGACCAACUCCCGUAAAACCAAGUCCUCCACACAGGGAACUGACAUCACACGCCCACUGCUGUUUUGAGGGCAACAGACCCAGGACAGCAGCAACAGGUCAUUGUGUGUGUGGGGUAUCUUUAGUGUGUGUGUGUGGUAUCGUUAGUGUGUGUGGGGUAUCUUUAGUGUGUGUGGGGUAUCUUUAGUGUGUGUGGGUGGUAUCUUUAGUGUGUGUGUGGGUGGUAUCUUUAGUGUGUGUGUGGGUGGUAUCUUUAGUGUGUGUGUGGGUGGUAUCUUUAGUGUGUGUGUGGGUGGUAUCUUUAGUGUGUGUGGGUGGUAUCUUUAGUGUAAGUGUGUGUGGUGGUAUCUUUAGUGUGUGUGUGGGUGGUAUCUUUAGUGUGUGUGGGUGGUAUCUUUAGUGUGUGUGGGUGGUAUCUUUAGUGUGUGUGUGGGUGGUAUCUUUAGUGUGUGUGUGGGUGGUAUCUUUAGUGUGUGUGUGGGUGGUAUCUUUAGUGUGUGUGUGAGACAAACAGCGAGUGUUCCAAACCGUAUCUGUGACCAGACAAACAGCGAGUGUUCCAAACCGUAUCUGUGACCAGACAAACAGCGAGUGUUCCAAACCGUAUCUGUGACCAGACAAACAGCGAGUGUUCCAAACCGUA
This is a long non-coding RNA of Oncorhynchus nerka (sockeye salmon), 987 nucleotides long. RefSeq lists it as uncharacterized. The record is from RefSeq and is a predicted model, not a curated record. NCBI's taxonomy places the organism in Eukaryota, Metazoa, Chordata, Actinopteri, Salmoniformes, Salmonidae. The transcript has 5 exons.